This 26-nucleotide non-coding RNA is filed under the name Homo sapiens (human). Lineage: Eukaryota; Metazoa; Chordata; Mammalia; Primates; Hominidae. The record is from RNAcentral.
UAUCUGGAGGUGUUAGGAUGAGUUUC